This is a long non-coding RNA of Mytilus californianus (California mussel), 544 nucleotides long. RefSeq lists it as uncharacterized. The record is from RefSeq and is a predicted model, not a curated record. Lineage: Eukaryota; Metazoa; Mollusca; Bivalvia; Mytilida; Mytilidae. The transcript has 3 exons.
UUGAUUCGAAUAGAUAUUGAUUUAUAAUGCGUCAAACUUUAAUGUACACUAUUUCAUAAUAGCUUUAAUUGUGUAAAACGUUGCACCAUUGAAGUACUAAAUUCAAGGUGAUUCCUUUCAUGGACUAAGUAUAAAAUGGAUGACUCAGAUAGCAUUCAAUAAUUAGACAAUACAUAUAUCGAUAAACAUAUAUACAAUUGACGAAUUUAAAUACAAAUGUUCUCCUACAUUAUCAGGCAUUUGAAAACACGUGGUUUAGUAAAAUUACACUUAUUGAUAUUUUCUUCAUAAAAUAUAUACGAACUGAAAGACUAGUAAACAAAGAAAGCUUGGACAAUGGUUAACAACACCUAAUAUAAAGGCUAGUUAUGAGUAGAAAAGAGAGCAGGUCUUUUUAUGUUGCCUUUUGAAAAUAUGGCGAAGGAAACUAACAUGGUAAAUUAUUUAACAAAAUUAAAGGGCAUCGUUAAUAUAGAAACAUUGUCUCGAGUAUAUGGCAAAUUAGGUAAAACAGGUAUGUAUAUGUCCCGUAAUACUAUUUGGU